RNAcentral lists this transfer RNA (82 nucleotides) under Alectoria sarmentosa. RNAcentral's name for it is "tRNA-Leu". It matches the Rfam family "tRNA". Rfam says of the family: Transfer RNA (tRNA) molecules are approximately 80 nucleotides in length. Lineage: Eukaryota; Fungi; Ascomycota; Lecanoromycetes; Lecanorales; Parmeliaceae. The record is from RNAcentral.
GCAAGGUUGGCCGAGUCGUCUAAGGCGGUGGUUUCAAGUUCCACUAUCGAAAGAUGCGUGAGUUCAAAUCUCACACCUUGCA